AAUUAACGCUGGCAGAGUGCAUAACACAUGCAAGUCGAGCGGGACACCCUGAGAUUACAUCAACUGGGUGUCUAGCGGCAGACGAGUGAGUAACACGUAAGCAACCUGCCCUUGAAUGGCGAACAACGUGUCGAAAGACACGCUAAUACGCCGUAUAAUCCCGGAGGGGCAUCUCUCUGGGAUGAUAGGCCCGCAAGGGUCAUUCAAGGUGGGGCUGCGGCCCAUCAGCUAGUUGGCGGUGUAACGGACCACCAAGGCUAUGACGGGUACCCGGCCUGAAGGGCGGACGGGCACGAAGGCACUGAGACACGGGCCUUACUCCUACGGGAGGCAGCAGUGGGAAUUUUGGACAAUGGGGAAACCCUGAUCCAGCAACUCUGCGUGAGGGACGAAGCC
Molecule: ribosomal RNA, 396 nt
Filed under: uncultured bacterium
Lineage: Bacteria
Description: partial 16S ribosomal RNA
Rfam family: Bacterial small subunit ribosomal RNA
Source: RNAcentral